GGCACUUGGUAUUCUCACCCAAGGCUCAGUAAUCUCCAGUGUAACUCAUGUUUGCUGGGGCACCCUCCGAGGACCGCCGGACGCGUGACAGACCUUG
Unclassified non-coding RNA from Phascolarctos cinereus (koala), 97 nucleotides. NCBI's taxonomy places the organism in Eukaryota, Metazoa, Chordata, Mammalia, Diprotodontia, Phascolarctidae. The record is from Ensembl.